RNAcentral lists this ribosomal RNA (492 nucleotides) under uncultured bacterium. Its description in RNAcentral is "partial 16S ribosomal RNA". It matches the Rfam family "Bacterial small subunit ribosomal RNA", at positions 29 to 507 of the family's 1533-position model. The record is from RNAcentral.
AGUGAACGCUGGCGGCAGGCCUAAUACAUGCAAGUCGAGCGGACGCAUAGUAAGCGUUUGCCCCUAAGGGUGGCGAGUGGCGGAUGGGUGAGGAAUACAUCGGCUACUUCUAUUACGUGGGUGACUUCGUGGAGCCACAUCUGAUACCAGAUCAUAUGGUCAACCGCAUGAAGCAGGCGUGAAACGCACUUUGGGCGACACUUAGAGACGAUGCCGGAUUAGCUAGUUGGCGAGGUAAAGGCACACCAAGGCAACGAUACGUAGCUGAUCUGAGAGGAUGAUCAGCCACACUGGAACUGAGACACGGUCCAGACUCCUACGGGAGGCAGCAGUAGGGAAUAUUGCGCAAUGGGCGCAAGCCUGAUCCAGCCAUGCCGCGUGAGUGAUGAAGGCCUUCGGAUUGUAAAGCUCUUUUAUUAGGGAAGAAAAACUGCGUAUGAAUACCCCCCUGUUCUGACGGUACCCAAAGAGUAAGCACCGGCUAACUUCGUG